This 253-nucleotide ribosomal RNA is filed under the name uncultured bacterium. Its description in RNAcentral is "partial 16S ribosomal RNA". It matches the Rfam family "Bacterial small subunit ribosomal RNA", at positions 524 to 776 of the family's 1533-position model. The record is from RNAcentral.
UACGUAGGGUGCGAGCGUUGUCCGGAAUUAUUGGGCGUAAAGGGCUCGUAGGCGGUUUGUCGCGUCGGGAGUGAAAACCUCGGGCUUAACUCGGGGCUUGCUUUCGAUACGGGCAGACUGGAGGUAUGCAGGGGAGAACGGAAUUCCUGGUGUAGCGGUGAAAUGCGCAGAUAUCAGGAAGAACACCGAUGGCGAAGGCAGCUCUCUGGGACGGUACUGACGCUGAGACGCGAAAGCGUGGGGAGCGAACAGG